RNAcentral lists this transfer RNA (89 nucleotides) under Ustilago trichophora. It matches the Rfam family "tRNA". Rfam says of the family: Transfer RNA (tRNA) molecules are approximately 80 nucleotides in length. Their secondary structure includes four short double-helical elements and three loops (D, anti-codon, and T loops). Lineage: Eukaryota; Fungi; Basidiomycota; Ustilaginomycetes; Ustilaginales; Ustilaginaceae. The record is from Rfam by way of RNAcentral.
GGCCCUAUAGCUCAGCGGUAGAGCGUUGGCUUCCAGAUCUUCUUUCAGGAAUAUUCCAAAGGUCAUCCGUUCAAAUCGGGUUGGGGUCA